AUGAAGAACGUAGCGAAAUGCGAUACUUGGUGUGAAUUGCAGAAUCCCGUGAACCAUCGAGUUUUUGAACGCAAGUUGCGCCCGAAGCCAUUCGGUUGAGGGCACGUCUGCCUGGGCGUCACGUACCCACGCCUCCCACAAAACCCGUCCCCGUCUCGGGGCGAAGGAUUUUGCGGCGAGCGGAGAAUGGCCUCCCGUGCCGACCAUCAGGCGCGGCUGGCCUAAAAAAGAGAGUACCGAGUGACGGAACGUCACGACAAGUGGUGGUUUACAGGCCCUCGCGGCCGGCCGAAUCUAGUCGUGCGCGCGCUCGUUGAUCGGAAAAGCUCUCGUGCGAACCCCGACACGUCCGUGACGGACGCUACUGUCGCGACCCCAGGUCAGGCGGGACUACCCGCU
This 399-nucleotide ribosomal RNA is filed under the name Astilbe rubra. RNAcentral's name for it is "eukaryotic LSU rRNA". The stretch from base 1 to 121 matches the Rfam family "5.8S ribosomal RNA", at positions 36 to 154 of the family's 154-position model. The record is from RNAcentral. Lineage: Eukaryota; Viridiplantae; Streptophyta; Magnoliopsida; Saxifragales; Saxifragaceae.